GUCGGCACAUGUGAUCUUAUGGAGUUGGCAGAAAUCAGGCGUAGAGGAAACCCACUGUACUGAGUGUCAUUCCAUUUUUGGACUCCUUCCAGAGCCCCUAGGAUCUAUGCUCUUGACAUCUGCUGUUUUAUUGAAAUAUAAUUGACACACAGCUUUGCAGAAGUUUAAGGUGCAUAGUACAAUGCCCUGACUUGAACACAUCAUGAAAUAAUUAACACGAAUAAACCUGAAGUAACUGAAAAGGAGGAUAGUACUAACAGGAAGUGAUGUUAAACAAAGCUCCACCAAGGAAUCAGAAGACCGUCUCCUCCUAUAGCUGCCUGGCCUCAGCAACAUCCGUCAACAAUGCCUCUUCAGUUGCCCCUUCUGAGUCCAGAACAUUGUUCAUUGAA
Non-coding RNA from Odocoileus virginianus texanus, 392 nucleotides. NCBI's taxonomy places the organism in Eukaryota, Metazoa, Chordata, Mammalia, Artiodactyla, Cervidae. The record is from RefSeq and is a predicted model, not a curated record.